RNAcentral lists this unclassified non-coding RNA (243 nucleotides) under Ascomycota sp. RNAcentral's name for it is "partial contains small subunit ribosomal RNA, internal transcribed spacer 1, and 5.8S ribosomal RNA". The stretch from base 1 to 47 matches the Rfam family "Eukaryotic small subunit ribosomal RNA", at positions 1785 to 1831 of the family's 1831-position model. The record is from RNAcentral. Lineage: Eukaryota; Fungi; Ascomycota.
AAAGUCGUAACAAGGUUUCCGUAGGUGAACCUGCGGAAGGAUCAUUACCAAAAUCUAGCUGCUCCGGUUCAGGCCGGUUGCACGCUUCAACCCUUUGUGAAUCAAAAAACUUUACGCUUCGGCAGCUGGUUUUCAGCUGUAAGCCUGCCGAUGGCACCAAUUUAAACCUGUCGUUAAACACUGUCUGAACUAAACAUUUUCGAAUGAAAAUCAAAACUUUCAACAACGGAUCUCUUGGUUCUC